GUUUUAUUAUCCUUGCAGUCGUUUUGAUAUACUUUAUGUAUAAGGGUUGUUGACCGAAAACCUCGAGGUUAAUCUAUAAGAUUUUGUAAGAUUCUUUUAAAUGAAUAAGUAUAUAGUGUAUAAAGAAUGUUUUUAAAGUACGGGUUCCAAAUGAUAUUAGUCCUUGUCCGGACGAACCAACUAUUUGGUAUUACUCUUAAGGUUGUAAAGCCUCGGGUUGUACCUAAUAGGAUAUGUGUACUUAGGCGGUUGGCCUAAGGUACCUGGAUUUAUUUCGGGAACUUCGGGUUAGUCGUUUAUGUACACAUUGUGGCUUCUCGGUUUGGUUUCAGUUACGAGUGAUCGGCUGUGCAUGUUCUUGUUUGAUUGUUGCACGGCUGGUCGAGUAAACUUAUACUUAGACCAGAUCGGGGUGUCACAGUCGGGGCAUUAAGUAUUUCAUAGUCGAGGUGAAAUUCUUGGAUUUAUGAAAGACGAACAACUGAAAAAAGCAUUUGCCAAGGAUGUUUUCAUUAAUCAAGAACGAAAGUUGGGGGCUGAAGACGAUCAGAUACCGUCCUAGUCUCAACCAUAAACGAUGCCGACCAGGGAUCAGCGGAUGUUGCUUUUAGGACUCCGCUGGCACCUUAUGAGAAAUCAAAGUUUUUGGGUUCCGGGGGGAGUAUGGUCGCAAGGCUGAAACUUAAAGGAAUUGACGGAAGGGCACCACCAGGAGUGGAGCCUGCGGCUUAAUUUGACUCAACACGGGGAAACUUACCAGGUCAAGACAUAGUAAGGAUUGACAGACUGAGAGCUCUUUCUUGAUUCUAUGGAUGGUGGUGCAUGGCCGUUCUUAGUUGGUGGAGCGAUUUGUCUGGUUAAUUCCGUUAACGAACGAGACCUCAGCCAGCUAACUAGCUACGUGGAGGCAUCCCUUCACGGCCGGCUUCUUAGAGGGACUAUGGCCGUUUAGGCGAAGGAAGUUUGAGGCAAUAACAGGUCUGUGAUGCCCUUAGAUAUUCGGGUCGCGACGCGGCGCUUACACUGAUGUAUUCAACGAGUUCACACCUUGGCCGACAGGCCCGGUAAUCUUUGAAAUUUCAUCGUGAUGGGGAUAGAUCAUUGCAAUUGUUGGUCUUCAACGAGGAAUUCCUAGUAAGCGAGUCAUCAGCUCGCGUUGACUACACCCCCCCGCCCUUUGUACACACCGCCCGUUGCUCUACCGAUUGAAUGAUCCGGUGAAGUGUUCGGAUCGCGGCAACAUGGGUAGUUCGCCGUCUGCGACGCCGCGAGAAGUCCACUAAACCUUCUCAUUUAGAGGAAGGAGAAGUCAGUAACAAGGUUUCCGUAGGUGAACCUGCGGAAG
RNAcentral lists this ribosomal RNA (1345 nucleotides) under Brassica rapa (field mustard). Its description in RNAcentral is "SSU rRNA". It matches the Rfam family "Eukaryotic small subunit ribosomal RNA". Lineage: Eukaryota; Viridiplantae; Streptophyta; Magnoliopsida; Brassicales; Brassicaceae. The record is from RNAcentral.